RNAcentral lists this ribosomal RNA (426 nucleotides) under uncultured bacterium. Its description in RNAcentral is "SSU rRNA". It matches the Rfam family "Bacterial small subunit ribosomal RNA", at positions 369 to 808 of the family's 1533-position model. The record is from RNAcentral.
CAAUGGAAGGAACUCUGAAUGCAGCGACGCCGCGCUGAGUGAAGAAGUAUUUCGGUAUGUAAAGCUCUAUCAGCAGGGNAAGAAAAUGACGGUACCUGNACUAAGAAGCCCCGGCUAACUACGUGCCAGCAGCCGCGGUAAUACGUAGGGGGCAAGCGUUAUCCGGAUUUACUGGGUGUAAAGGGAGCGUAGACGGCGACGCAAGUCUGAAGUGAAAUACCCGGGCUCAACCUGGGAACUGCUUUGGAAACUGUGUUGCUAGAGUGCUGGAGAGGUAAGCGGAAUUCCUAGUGUAGCGGUGAAAUGCGUAGAUAUUAGGAAGAACACCAGUGGCGAAGGCGGCUUACUGGACAGUAACUGACGUUGAGGCUCGAAAGCGUGGGGAGCAAACAGGAUUAGAUACCCUGGUAGUCCAAGGGCGAAUUC